This 512-nucleotide ribosomal RNA is filed under the name uncultured bacterium. Its description in RNAcentral is "partial 16S ribosomal RNA". It matches the Rfam family "Bacterial small subunit ribosomal RNA", at positions 30 to 523 of the family's 1533-position model. The record is from RNAcentral.
AUUGAACGCUGGCGGCAUGCCUAACACAUGCAAGUCGAACGGCAGCACAGUAAAGACUUCGGUCUUUAUGGGUGGCGAGUGGCGGACGGGUGAGUAACGCGUAGGAAUCUGUCCUGGAGAGUGGGAUAACCCGAGGAAACUCGGGCUAAUACCGCAUGAUAUCGAGAGAUCAAGGCAGGGGACCCUUCGGGGCCUUGCGCCCUAGGUUGAGCCUACGUCGGAUUAGCUAGUUGGUGGGGUAAAGGCCUACCAAGGCGACGAUCCGUAGCUGGUCUUAGAUGAUGACCAGCCACACUGGGACUGAGACACGGCCCAGACUCCUACGGGAGGCAGCAGUGGGGAAUCCUGGACAAUGGGGGAAACCCUGAUCCAGCGAUGCCGCGUGUGUGAAGAAGGCCUUCGGGUUGUAAAGCACUUUAGGUGGGGAAGAAAGGUAAUGAGUGAAUAACUGAUUGCUUUGACGGUACCCGCAGAAUAAGCACCGGCUAACUCUGUGCCAGCCGCCGCAGUAA